RNAcentral lists this ribosomal RNA (458 nucleotides) under uncultured Shinella sp. RNAcentral's name for it is "bacterial SSU rRNA". It matches the Rfam family "Bacterial small subunit ribosomal RNA", at positions 140 to 632 of the family's 1533-position model. Lineage: Bacteria; Pseudomonadati; Pseudomonadota; Alphaproteobacteria; Hyphomicrobiales; Rhizobiaceae. The record is from RNAcentral.
GGAACAACAGUUGGAAACGACUGCUAAUACCGUAUACGCCCCUUGGGGGAAAGAUUUAUCGGAGAUGGAUGAGCCCGCGUUGGAUUAGCUAGUUGGUGGGGUAAAGGCCUACCAAGGCGACGAUCCAUAGCUGGUCUGAGAGGAUGAUCAGCCACAUUGGGACUGAGACACGGCCCAAACUCCUACGGGAGGCAGCAGUGGGGAAUAUUGGACAAUGGGCGCAAGCCUGAUCCAGCCAUGCCGCGUGAGUGAUGAAGGCCUUAGGGUUGUAAAGCUCUUUCACCGGUGAAGAUAAUGACGGUAACCGGAGAAGAAGCCCCGGCUAACUUCGUGCCAGCAGCCGCGGUAAUACGAAGGGGGCUAGCGUUGUUCGGAAUUACUGGGCGUAAAGCGCACGUAGGCGGAUAUUUAAGUCAGGGGUGAAAUCCCAGAGCUCAACUCUGGAACUGCCUUUGAUA